GACGAACGCUGGCGGCGUGCCUAAUACAUGCAAGUUGAGCGCUGAAGCUUGGUACUUGUACCAACUGGAUUAGCAGCGAACGGGUGAGUAACGCGUGGGUAAUCUGCCUUUGAGCGGGGGACAACAUUUGGAAACGAAUGCUAAUACCGCAUAAAAACUUUAAACACAAGUUUUAAGUUUGAAAGAUGCUAUUGCAUCACCCAAAGAUGAUCCCGCGUUGUAUUAGCUAGUUUGUUAGGUAAAGGCUCACCAAGGCGAUGAUACAUAGCCGACCUUAGAGGGUGAUCGGCCACAUUGGGACUGAGACAAGGCCCCAACUCCUACGGGAGGCAGCAGUAGGGAAUCUUCGGCAAUGGACGAAAGUCUGAACGAGCAACGCCGGGUGAGUGAAGAAGGUUUUCGGAUCGUAAAACUCUGUUGGUAGAGAAGAAAGUUGGUGAGAGUGGAAAGCUCAUCAAGUGACGGUAACUACCCAGAAAGGGACGGCUAACUACGUG
RNAcentral lists this ribosomal RNA (497 nucleotides) under uncultured bacterium. Its description in RNAcentral is "partial 16S ribosomal RNA". It matches the Rfam family "Bacterial small subunit ribosomal RNA", at positions 28 to 507 of the family's 1533-position model. The record is from RNAcentral.